CGUCAUCGAGGGAGGCCUCAACGUCACGCUCACCAUCCGGCUGCUCAUGCACGGAAAGGAGGUCGGCAGCAUCAUUGGGAAGAAAGGGGAGUCCGUGAAGAAGAUGCGCGAGGAGGUGAGUGCCG
Molecule: non-coding RNA, 125 nt
Organism: Tinamus guttatus (white-throated tinamou)
Lineage: Eukaryota; Metazoa; Chordata; Aves; Tinamiformes; Tinamidae
Source: RefSeq, a predicted model, not a curated record